RNAcentral lists this long non-coding RNA (204 nucleotides) under Homo sapiens (human). RNAcentral describes it as "non-protein coding lnc-CLINT1-3:1". Lineage: Eukaryota; Metazoa; Chordata; Mammalia; Primates; Hominidae. The record is from RNAcentral.
AAGUGAAGUCAAAGUUAUCCAAAGAAUAUCACUUUAUUAAAAUGAAAACAUCAAGACACCAUAUUGUGGGAAAUUAUUUCAGCAAUCAAAGUAAACUACAACAACAGGACUCAAACAAAUUUUCAAUCAUGGUAUCACGUCAGAGGCCCAAUAAAUCAGGUUUGUUUUGAAAUCCUUCUCAGCAGGAUGUGUGCGAGUAAAAGG